Lycium barbarum (goji berry) is the source of this 1140-nucleotide long non-coding RNA. RefSeq lists it as uncharacterized. The transcript has 3 exons. Lineage: Eukaryota; Viridiplantae; Streptophyta; Magnoliopsida; Solanales; Solanaceae. The record is from RefSeq and is a predicted model, not a curated record.
UAUCCCGUAAUUUUAUACGUCGAGUUAUUCGCAAGAGAAUCGACUCAAGUUAAAGAUGGGAUCAUUUUCGGGCACGAAACAGAAAUCUUUAAUUUCCGGUCUCUAUUAGAAAAUGAAUUGCUUAUGAAUUUUACUUAGUGUAAAAAUAUUAAUGGAAAGUUGGGAUUAAUUUACCAUGAUUAGAUUAUUAAGUGGGGAUUAGUGAUUAAUUAAUCUAAUUAUCGAAAAGUUGGCCCCACGACACGUGGCGAGAUUUGGUUGGACUUGAAUAAAGAUGGACACAUGUCAUGAAAAUUGACACAUGUCCACUUUGUAAAGAUAAUAUAUAAGUAUAAGUGGAUGACUAAGUCAUCACAUAUUCCACAAAUUAAUCUUGCAAAUUAGGUUUUAGAGAGAAGGGCUCUCAAGCCUAGAGAGAGAAAGAAGUUCCCGCGCGCACUAUUCACGGGCGGCGUUACUGUUCACGGCGCACUAUUCACGGCGGCGCUACUGUUCACGCCGCCACUGUUCACGGCCAGCCCGUUUUUGCCCCCUUCUACACAAUUAAUUGGAAAGAUUUGAAGAUUAAGAGGAGGAAAAAGAUGGAGCUCAUGGUAGCCAUGGCAACUCACGACCAUGGCUUUCUUGAAGACAUUUCAUGGUGAAAAAUUAGAGCUUGUCUCUAAGGCCUUGGGGAGCCCGAGACGUAGGUUGGGAUUAACUUUAGUUGGGCAAACUUGGAGCGCGUACGAGGUACAGACGCACAGUUUGGUGAUCUACCCAUUUAGGACACCCUCUUCUGCUGUUUGGAGUGCUCUUCUCAUUUCAGAGCACACAUUUUGGUAUAUAUUCGUUCGCUAUGUAUAUAUGUAUUUGUUCAGGGGCACGGCGGGGCCUUGUCCCGCCAUAUGAUUCGGUUUGUCUGUUUAGAGAUCUGUAGACGUAUUUGUGGGUGUGUGUGCCUACUUCUGUACGGAUGUGUUUGCAUGACUCUAUUCGUUAUGGCAGCCUUGUCGGCUCGCACAUGUAUAUGUUGUUCUGUUGGCCCUGUGUGGCCUUUGUUGGUAUUUGCUGUGUACAGGGUUAUUUUGGAUAGUCCGAAAAACAAAGGAAACUCUGCCGAAAUUUUCUUUGAAAAUCUUAUAAAUUUGAAACACCGCC